RNAcentral lists this transfer RNA (90 nucleotides) under Deltaproteobacteria bacterium. RNAcentral's name for it is "tRNA-Ser". It matches the Rfam family "tRNA". Rfam says of the family: Transfer RNA (tRNA) molecules are approximately 80 nucleotides in length. Their secondary structure includes four short double-helical elements and three loops (D, anti-codon, and T loops). Lineage: Bacteria; Pseudomonadati; Myxococcota; Myxococcia. RNAcentral also lists the same sequence under 1 other name. The record is from RNAcentral.
GGAGGAUUGGCCGAGCGGUUGAAGGCGGCGGUCUUGAAAACCGUUGUACCUUGACGGGUACCGGGGGUUCGAAUCCCUCAUCCUCCGCCA